Neltuma alba is the source of this 761-nucleotide long non-coding RNA. RefSeq lists it as uncharacterized. The transcript has 3 exons. Lineage: Eukaryota; Viridiplantae; Streptophyta; Magnoliopsida; Fabales; Fabaceae. The record is from RefSeq and is a predicted model, not a curated record.
UACAAAUCACGCCUUACGUUCUGACAGAGAUGAGCCGCAUCUGGAGUUUGUGCGUGAAUCUAGGCCAAUCACAGCCCUUCGUAUUCCAAUCGAACGGUUGUUUUAGAUUCACGCGCAAACUCGCGAUGCGUCUCCUCCAUCACAUCCGAUAUCUCACUCUGGCUUCUCUUUUCCCUUCCUGUUUUCCCGCCAAAUCUGGAGGUACGGAAAAUCAGAGAAUCAAUUUCCGGAAGAGAUUGAAGAAGGCGGAUUAGAAUAUGAUGUGCAAGCGUAGGCAUCGACGGCUUCGAGUUUGGUGGAACAUUGUCGUUUUCCCGCCAAAACUGGAGAUAUUUGCAAUUUCUUCGAGGAACUGAAGAAUAAUGCGCAGUGUUAGAAUUGAUGGUGUCGUCUCCGGUGGAAGACUGGCGCUGAGGAUUUUUGUUGAGAUUCGAGGUUUUGCAGUUUGAUUCUGAUUUAAGAAGAGAUCUGAUGAAUGACUCUGAGGUUCUGUUUCUUUAUCUGGUUUUCUGAAGGAAUGAGUUGAAUGAGAAAGAUUGACAGAACAUUAUACACGUCAGAAGAAACAUGAACUUCGUAAACUGGCCGGGAUAGCUAAUGUGAGGAUGAAGCAAGUGAUAAAACUCAUCAAAAUGACAGGACAUUAUCCUUCUUGUAAAUAUGAUUAAUGAAAUCUUGAAGAUUAUGGUUAUUGUGGCCUUUUAGUCUAUGCAGAAGCAAUAUGUGAUAGAUUUCUUGCUUGGCAAUUGUUUGUCCAUUUA